Molecule: ribosomal RNA, 357 nt
Filed under: uncultured Desulfobulbus sp.
Lineage: Bacteria; Pseudomonadati; Thermodesulfobacteriota; Desulfobulbia; Desulfobulbales; Desulfobulbaceae
Description: bacterial SSU rRNA
Rfam family: Bacterial small subunit ribosomal RNA
Source: RNAcentral
UACUGGAGGACAGGUGCUGCAUGGCUGUCGUCAGCUCGUGUCGUGAGAUGUUGGGUUAAGUCCCGCAACGAGCGCAACCCUUGCCUUUAGUUGCCAGCAGUUCUGCUGGGCACUCUAAAGGGACUGCCGGUGUUAAACCGGAGGAAGGUGGGGAUGACGUCAAGUCCUCAUGGCCUUUAUGACCAGGGCUACACACGUACUACAAUGGCCGAUACAAAGGGCAGCGACACUGCGAGGUGAAGCCAAUCCCGUAAAAUCGGUCUCAGUCCGGAUUGGAGUCUGCAACUCGACUCCAUGAAGUUGGAAUCGCUAGUAAUCGUGGAUCAGCAUGCCACGGUGAAUACGUUCCCGGGCCUU